RNAcentral lists this non-coding RNA (175 nucleotides) under Herminiimonas arsenicoxydans. RNAcentral's name for it is "FMN sequence". It matches the Rfam family "FMN riboswitch aptamer (RFN element)". From Rfam's summary of the family: The RFN element is a highly conserved domain that is found frequently in the 5'-untranslated regions of prokaryotic mRNAs that encode for flavin mononucleotide (FMN) biosynthesis and transport proteins. This element is a metabolite-dependent riboswitch that directly binds FMN in the absence of proteins. In Bacillus subtilis, the riboswitch most likely controls gene expression by causing premature transcription termination within the 5' untranslated region of the ribDEAHT operon and precluding access to the ribosome-binding site of ypaA mRNA. Lineage: Bacteria; Pseudomonadati; Pseudomonadota; Betaproteobacteria; Burkholderiales; Oxalobacteraceae. The record is from Rfam by way of RNAcentral.
UUACGUUCUCGGGGCGGGGUGCGAUUCCCCACCGGCGGUAAUGACACAGUUUGCGUGUCUAGCCCGCGAGCGCUUGCUGGAGCUUCCAUCCGGUUGCCGGAUUUCUUCAGCAAGGUCAGCAGACUCGGUGUGAUCCCGAGGCCGACGGUCAUAGUCCGGAUGAUAGAGAACGGGA